GGGGAAUAAGAUAAGAUUCUUAAGAUAGAAUCCGAUCCGACAAACACAUAACACUUAAAUGUCGGAAUAAUAAUAGCAACUCCACUCCUCCCUUACAUUAUAAAGGUAGCAAUUAGCAAACAAAUGACGACAAAAAGGGUAGGAAUUGUCUUUUCUUAACGACACCGACUUUUCCAAAUCGUUCGCCUGGAAAUGAAAUUUAAGGACCGGUGAUUACGCUUCUGACCGGUAACUCGCCAUUCGUAU
Molecule: long non-coding RNA, 246 nt
Organism: Arabidopsis thaliana (thale cress)
Lineage: Eukaryota; Viridiplantae; Streptophyta; Magnoliopsida; Brassicales; Brassicaceae
Product: other RNA
Exons: 1
Source: RefSeq